GCUAACAAAAAUUUUCUCGCCGUGCAGAAUUCGGUGAACAGCAUUAGAGUUUCUCCACCAAAUAGCAGCUCUGGUAGAUCUGCUGCUCUACCUGCUGGAGCCUCAUGGUAUGUCAAUUACUGAUCUGUUGUCUCUUUCAAUUUGUAUGUCACUAUUUCUCAGCAUUCAAUUUGCCUUCACUAGGGGGAUUCGUUCUUCCAAUAAUCAACCCUUGUCCACAAGUAUACCAUGUUCCAAUGGACUACAUAAGCAUAAACCUAAUGCCUGUAAUGGACCGGUGACGUUUUCUACUGCAGUUGCUAGCUCUAGUCAGGUUUCUUCGUUGCAUAGUGACUCUGGAAAGAAGCUGGUUCCUAGUGAAGAAAGCAACACAAGUCUAGACAAAAGCAAACUGGAAGCCAUAGAACAUGUGAAAAAGGAUUCUAGCACAGAUAGCAGAACUAUUUUGAGUAGUUCCUCCUCGUCUGUACUUUCUGUUACUUCAACAAUAAACAGGCAACACGGUCAACCUACAUCCAAGGACAAAGAUGGAGAUGCCAGCAUGCUACCCUGUACCAACAACUCAGUUAAUCAAUACCUAAAGUCUUGUGGUCCUGAUUCAGACACAGAUUCCAAUGAUUCUGCAGAUGGAAAAAUUGAAAAUUUAUGCUCUGAAAUUUUUUCUAUGAGCAUUGAUAGACAUCAACAGUUGCAGAAUGGCUAUGCUGAGCACAUUGGAGAACCAUUGAUAUCGCAGACCUCUGGAAUAUCUGCAUUACCAGUUGAUGAGGAUUAUGCCUCAAAUCGUCUCUCUCCGUUGAAAUUGGAAACACACAUGCAAGUCUCGCAAGUUGACUCGCUUCAGAUGGAAGAUAAUCUAUUAUCUUUUGAUAAACAAAGACUCAAGGAUCCAGAGUUUGCUUCUAGCAGAAACAGUAUACCAGAUUCUUCUCACUCUACUCAUCUUUCAAGACAUUCUAAUAUUCAUUCUCCAACACAAAAUAAUUCUGACGCUUCAGUCAGGGUCAAUGUUGAUAGGCAAAUUGUACAUACAAAAGACAAUUUGAUAGUAUCAGCUUCUAGUAAUUCUGUUAUGUCAAAUAAACAUCCUGACAAUGAAUUCAGUAGUUCUUCUGAUCCAGUGAAUGAUGUUGAACAUAUUUAUUUGUUUCCAAUUAAUAAGGAUAAAAAUUCAGUUCUGGGAAGAUUCAAAGGUGAAGCAGCCUGUCACAGUCAUCCUGCUGCUGUUGAUACGGGGGAAAGCAGCAUAAUAUCAGAUAUUUUGUCGAUGGACUCUUAUUCAUGGGAUGACUCGAUACGUUCACCUCAGAACCUGGCAAAAUUGUUUGGUGAAACUGAUGAACGACAAGGGCCUUUCGGAGUACCUAGUUCGCGGAAAAUCCAGAAUAGCAAUCAAUCGAGGUUUUCUUUUGCUAGAGAGGAGGAACGUAUGAACCGAGCAUCUGACUUUGGACUAGCUAUCAAUUAUGUUGAACAAUCUCUUAAGGACCGCCCAUUUGGCAAUGAUUUCACAAACAGCAACAGCUUUCAUCUUGAAAAGUUUGGUUCUCACAAUAGGCUAUCUUUAUUUAAUGGUGUGGAGUCAGAUAAUUUUGCCAGCAGUCAUUCUUACAUCUCUUCUAACAAGGUUCCUGGUGAGUUGCGAUUUAUACGAAUUUCAAUGAAGUUUAUUCAUAGUUUGUUGUUGACUUGGCGGGGUUGUAAGUUUCUUUUUAUUUCUCGGAUAUAUUAGUAACCUUGUCAUGGAAAUUGACACUUGCGAAGUAUACAUGUUCAAUUUAGUUCUUUCUUGAUCAAAAUAUUCUUGUGCCUCAUGAGAAACCUAGGGAUAUUUUCAAUUUGUGUUUUCCAUCUGAUGGAAUUUAUUCUUAUGUAGCUUUCUAUUUUUCUCUCUCAAAACAUUUUUUCUGGGUGCCUUUGAACAGUUUCAAGAUCUCAAGUUUCUGCCCCCCCGGGUUUCUCAGUGCCUAGUAGGGUACCACCUCCCGGUUUUAUUUCUCACGAGAAGACAGGGCGGAUAUUCGACCCACACUCUGGUCCGUUAAUUUAUGCUAGGCACUUAAUAUUUUCGGACUUUUACUUCAUGUUAAAAAUCUUGUGUUUGGUUUUGAAUUAUCAUUUUAUUCUGUCUUGUGCAGGAAAUUAUAUGCCCGAUGCUUCGCUUUUGCCAAGAAAUCAGUAUCAGGCAUCCCCAAGUGGUGAUUCUAUUAGUAAUGCCGAAAUUGAGUUUAUGGAUCCUGCAAUUUUGGCAGUUGGCAAAGGGAUACUUCCUGGUAGCCUAAACAGCUCAGGCUUGGGUGCAAGAUUAAGUUAUUCUCCGCAGUAUAGUACGCUUGAAGAAUUAAGAUUCCAGUCCUUGUUACAAAGAUCAGUUCCUACUCAUCAAAACCAGAGAUUUACAGACCCGGGUGACAGUUAUUCUCCCCUUGGCGAUGCUUAUGGAGUUCCUUCUAGGGUGCUAGAGCAAACCCUAACCAACAACCUGUCCCCAUUUUCCCAGUUCACUCUUCCUCAGCCUAGAAAUGCUGUAACAUCCAAUGGCCAAUGGGAUGGGUGGAAUACGGUGCAGGGUGAGAAUGCUUUAGGUAUGGCAGAACUACUCAGAAAUGAGAGAUUGGGACUUCCUAAGUACUACAAUGGUUAUGAAGAUUCAAAUACCCGCUUGCCAAAUUCUGGAAACCUAUAUAAUCGGGCUAAUGGGAUUUAAAUUUGGUUGGAGACUUAUAUGGCACUGUUGGUACUGAUAGUGUCAAUGGUAAAAUAGGAAAAAUCUUGUGCGAAUUAGAGAAUGCCUGCUUUAAGGACUUCAAUGUUUGGCAAUCGGAUGACCUGAUCACUUGCAUUGACUAAACGGACCUAGGCAUGGAAUGCCCGAAAUAUUUGUGUUCGAGGACAUUAGAGUGAUUCACGAGUAGUCUGAUGGCACUGCUUUUAAGUUGGUGGAGGAUCAAGCCCUUUCAACAGGGAGUCCCAAACCAACAGGUAAAAUAUUGGCUCUCUUUAAUAUGGUUUAUGUUGUUGAUUCGUGAACGAGGCUGUUGUGCAUGUAUAUCACGGGAAAUAAUAAAUGGAGUAGAGUAUUAAAAAAGUAGAUUAGAGGCUUAAUGGUCACUCAUGUAUGUCAUUAGAAAGAUGAAUGUUACUAAUCUAGUUCAGAAAAGAAAGAACAGUGAGCUUGUUGUACCAUCAGACACUUCUUUCCGUAAAACAAACUUCUGUAUUAGACUCAGAUUUCUCACUAACUGUUUUUCCCCCCUUCGUCCUCUUCGUAUCUUUCGGCUCUUGGUAAGAUGAAAGAAUCGUUUUGAAGAAGAUACAAACUUUGCGAUCCUAAUCCUUUUUAUACUUGAAAAACACAAAGUAACUUCACCUUUCCCUCGUCCUAUUGUACAUCUCAAUUUCCAUGGAACUUACGGAAUAAUGGAGUUUUGAGAUGUUAAUCUGGACAUGAAUAGACUGCUACUGCUACUACUAUUAUUAUUUGCACACUGCUCAUUUUGUUCAUAGCCUUUCACCCUCAUAUUUUCAGGUAAAGGGUGCUUGAGAUUCAGGCCUAAUGUGAUGGUCAUGCAAGCAAUGUUGUGCACGAUGAAAUCAGCUUGUGAUCUUUUCUUUCGUAAUGCUAAAGCUUGUUAGUUUGUUUGAAGUUGUUCUACAGAGGUGAUCGAAAAUACUUUCUUUCACAGUGGUGAAAAUUGAUUUGUGUGUAGGCAAAAAUUCGAAAAUGGGAAGUUUAUAGUUUUGUUUUUGCUUAUUUACUUGAGAGUAUGAUCGAGAUCGUUUUCACAAAAUUCAAUGAAUUCACAUGCUGGUGAAAAAUCUGUAGCUGAAUCAACGUGGAAAUAGUGAAAUGGACGAGUACCAAAAAAUGGUUGGAGGAAAAUAUGUAAUUAUAAAAUGCCAUAAUAAAGCGUGUUUUUGAGAAUGCAG
RNAcentral lists this long non-coding RNA (3930 nucleotides) under Olea europaea subsp. europaea. Lineage: Eukaryota; Viridiplantae; Streptophyta; Magnoliopsida; Lamiales; Oleaceae. The record is from RNAcentral.